UAGGGAAUCUUCCACAAUGGACGCAAGUCUGAUGGAGCAACGCCGCGUGAGUGAAGAAGGUCUUCGGAUCGUAAAACUCUGUUGUUAGAGAAGAACACGAGUGAGAGUAACUGUUCAUUCGAUGACGGUAUCUAACCAGCAAGUCACGGCUAACUACGUGCCA
This 163-nucleotide ribosomal RNA is filed under the name uncultured bacterium. RNAcentral describes it as "partial 16S rRNA". It matches the Rfam family "Bacterial small subunit ribosomal RNA", at positions 355 to 510 of the family's 1533-position model. The record is from RNAcentral.